GUAUGAGUGCCUUAGAGUAUAGUCUCCGCUUAAAUUCGUUGGCUAGGUAUGCUCCGGCCAUAUUAGCGGAUAUGGGUGACCGAGUGCACCGAUUUGUGAGAGGCCUAGGUGUUACAUCCGGUAUUUUUGCAUAAUCAAAAAAUUGGAGAUAACUUGGCUUGUAAUGAAUGAGGCCAUAAUUGGACCUUACUUGGUAUGAAUGUGUUGGCUAUGAAAUUAUUGGUGUGAAAUACGGAGGAAGGCCAAGGGAAAAAAUUGGAAUUUCGGAAAUUAGCCUCGGGAAUUUUAAAUUAGCCAUAAGUAAUUGGGCUUGGGGAAUCAAAAAAAAAAAAAAAAAAAAGAAGGCCCAAAUAUGCAAAGGGUGGCCGGCCAUGGUAAUUAAAAUGGCCCAAGCCCACAAUAAAUUUAACUCAUGUAUUAAUAAGAAGAUGAUCCAUAGUUCUUUCCUUUUCAAGAAGUUUCAAGAACAUAAAAUUGAGAGGAAAAAGAAAGAAGGCCUACGGCCAAGAAGAGAAAGAGAAAAGAAAAGAAAAAAAAAUUCUUGGAGUUAAAUCCUUGGUUCAAAAAUCCAUUUCUUGUGGGAUUAUUACUAAGUGCAAGAUUCUCUACAACUUGGUACAAUUAUUUUGGCAAGAAACUAUCUUUGGUAGCAAGGAGAAUUUGUUGGUAAAAAGAUUCUGGACGAGAUUGGAAUCGAAGCCAAGCGAGCGUAAGGCGCAAUCGAGGUACAGACGCACCUGAAGAUACGCCGCCAGUCUAGGGCUCAG
Long non-coding RNA from Lycium barbarum (goji berry), 767 nucleotides. RefSeq lists it as uncharacterized. The record is from RefSeq and is a predicted model, not a curated record. The transcript has 3 exons. NCBI's taxonomy places the organism in Eukaryota, Viridiplantae, Streptophyta, Magnoliopsida, Solanales, Solanaceae.